UGGGGAAUUUUGCGCAAUGGGGGAAACCCUGACGCAGCGACGCCGCGUGAAGGAUGAAGGUCUUCGGAUUGUAAACUUCUUUUGUCGGGGAAGAUAAUGACGGUACCCGAUGAAUAAGCCACGGCUAACUCUGUGCCAGCAGCCGCGGUAAGACAGAGGUGGCAAGCGUUGUUCGGAAUUACUGGGCUUAAAGGGCGCGUAGGCGGUGGAGUAAGUCUGAGGUGGAAGGUCAGGGCUUAACCCUGAAAUUGCCUUGGAAACUGCAUCACUUGAGUCAGCAAGGGGAUGGCGGAAUUCCAGGUGUAGCGGUGAAAUGCGUAGAUAUCUGGAGGAAGGCCGGUGGCGAAGGCGGCCAUCUGGUGCUGAACUGACGCUGAGGCGCGAAAGCGUGGGGAGCAAA
This 400-nucleotide ribosomal RNA is filed under the name uncultured bacterium. RNAcentral describes it as "bacterial SSU rRNA". It matches the Rfam family "Bacterial small subunit ribosomal RNA", at positions 355 to 772 of the family's 1533-position model. The record is from RNAcentral.